RNAcentral lists this ribosomal RNA (322 nucleotides) under Oribacterium sp. WCC10. Its description in RNAcentral is "bacterial LSU rRNA". It matches the Rfam family "Bacterial large subunit ribosomal RNA", at positions 2598 to 2925 of the family's 2925-position model. The record is from RNAcentral. Lineage: Bacteria; Bacillati; Bacillota; Clostridia; Lachnospirales; Lachnospiraceae.
ACGCGAGCUGGGUUCAGAACGUCGUGAGACAGUUCGGUCCCUAUCCGGCGCGGGCGUAGGAUAUUUGAGAGGAGCUGUCCUUAGUACGAGAGGACCGGGAUGGACUGACCUCUGUUGGACCUGUUGGAGAUCAACUCCAGUGCAGGGUAGGCAUGUCGGGACUGGAUAAACGCUGAAGGCAUCUAAGCGUGAAGCCACCCUCAAGAUGAGAUAUCCCAUCGCAAGAGUAAGACCCCUUGAAGACUACGAGGUAGAUAGGGCUAAGCUGUAAGUGCUGUAAAGCAUUCAGGUGAUAGUUACUAAUAGGUCGAGGGUUUGACCA